UGAAGAAUUAUUGUUUAUUUUUGACGGUCUUUAUUUUCAGCUUACCACUAUUCCUCUUCUUCUCUUAUCAACGACCCUGUUUCUCUUUUUCUCUUCCGUCAAAUUUGAGAUCACCUGCUCCUCUUCUUUCCUUGGCUCCGGCUUUCAGUUUUGGAUUCCAAUACUCACUCUUCAUAUUCAAAAUCUCAGUUUACUCUUCAAUUUCAAGAUUCAUCUCAUUCUUCAGCUCCAAAAUCAACUUAGUCUUGUUAGAUUUCAAAAUUUUUUUAUUCAAGCUUCUUAUACUAUACGUAUUAAGGUCAAACAAUUUUAUCAAUGGCUUCCAAAUUGCUAUUAAAGAAACAAAGUCAACCAACUGAGACAAGUAUUUUUUUAUUAUUGCUUAUUUAUGUGAAUUGUAAUUGUUAAGGUCAUUUAUAGUCUUCUAGAAUGCAUUUUUCUUGUUUAUUAUUGUUUGGUAAUGCUGAAUAUUCUAUAAUUUGCUGUGUUUUCUAUGUAUGACUCUGUAUUAAGUGACAUAUUCAUGCUUAUUUUGGAGGAGUCAAUGUCAAUUCUCACUUCUCUCUUUGCCUGUCGAGUAAUUUUUUACGGCUGAAUCCACAUCUAACUAUAAUUAUUCUGAGGUAUGUUAAGCUUGUCAUAUAUUCAAUGGACAAGGAUUGGAUACAAAUUAAGAAUAGAGCCCUUUUACAAUAUAGGAGAGCCAAAGACCUCAAAGAUUGCUAAUAGUGUUGCUACUAGAAGAAAGAAAGGGAUUCAGAGUCUUGUAUCUAAAAGAAAUUUAGCUCCAUCAAGUCACUUACAACAAGCUGAUUUUCUUUCUAAUAAUGAUGGAGAGCAUGGAAAAAAAACAAGUUCAUCAAGUCAUUCACAAGUUAGAAGGACAUUUGACUCUCUUUCUAAUGAUGAUGGAGUGCAUGGAAAAAAAGUAAGUUCAUCAAGCCACUCACAAGUUAGAAGGACAUUUGACUCCCUUUCUAAUAAUGAUGGAGUGCAUGGAAAAAAAGCAAGUUCAUCAAGUCACUCACAACUUAGAAGGCAAUUUGACUCCCUUUCUAAUGAUGAUGAAGUGGAUGAAGAAGAAUUCGAAUCCGAUUUUGUAGCACCGAAAAAAAAGUGAGAGGACCUAUGCGCAAUCUUGAGUUAGCAAAGUUACCAGCUGGAAAAAGACUUGACAUAAACUGGAGAAUGAAUAGGCCAGUUGGUCCAAAUGCAAAGCUGUUCAAAUCAAGAUGCACUGUUCUAGUUCGUGAUGUGAAGAAUGCACCACUAAAGGUUAAAGAAUGGGCUGAUAUCAAAAUAGAGAACAAAAUAAAGAUGUUUGACCUAGUUUUGACAUACUUUAAAGUUGAAGGUUGAAAGCAUUUAGUAUGGGCUCAAAUGAAUUUUUCUUAUCGGAGUUAUCGACAUCUAUUAAAGAAAAGGUAUUUUGAACCUUAUGAUAACCCUGAAAUUGCUCGAGCCAAUAUACCAUUGGAAAUGGAAAAAGAGGAUUGGGAUUACCUUGUGAAUCUUUGGAUUGAUGAAGGCUGGCAGAAAAUAAGUCAACAAAACAAGAUGAGUCGAGCUGCAAAUAGCAUUAUCCAUACCACUGGUGCUAAGGGAGCCCAACAAAGAGCUGAAGAGGCGGUAUCUAAAUUUUACUAAUUUAUAGACUUAAUUUGAAGAUAUUUAUUAGUUGCUAUAUUUAUAAGAUAUGUUAUUUGUACCUACAGUUUGAGCAAACAGGACAAGAAAUUGACCGUCUUCGCCUUUGGGAGCUUACGCAUACCCAUGUUAAUGAACAAGCUUGCAAUGAAGAAACUCAAGAAAAACUUGUUGAUUUGAUCCAUUUUAGAAUUUACUUAAGGAAUUAUCAUCUCAAGUAAAUGAGGGAAUAUUAGAGAUGAAUGAACAUGAGGUGAUGGUAGAAGUAUUUGGACCUGAACGACAUGGACGAGUUCGUGGUUAUGGAGCUGGCGUGACACCUGCACAGUUAUGGGGUCCUAGAUCAUUCAUAUUUUCUGAUCUCCAAAUAAAGCUUCAAUGUGCAGAAAAAAAAUAUGAAGACUCUAAAAUAGAGGUGGAAGAUUUGAAGAAAAAAGUAGAUCAUAUGGCAGGAAUACUUGAGCAACUAUUGGAUGGAAGGUUGCCUAUAGUUCAAAGUGAUAACAAUCCUACUUCACUUGAUUAAUGCUCAAGACUUUGAUGAGUUUAUGUAUAAUUCAUAUAGCACUAUACAAAAAAAACAUUAAUAUGAUAUUAUGAUAUUGAGUAUUGAUUUUGGUACUUGGUGUUAAUUGUUGUUGAUAUACUUAUCAAAUGCUAAAUAAAGAAUGCUAUUUGUACUAGUUUUGAAUCA
Molecule: non-coding RNA, 2341 nt
Organism: Arachis ipaensis
Lineage: Eukaryota; Viridiplantae; Streptophyta; Magnoliopsida; Fabales; Fabaceae
Source: RefSeq, a predicted model, not a curated record